ACGUAGGGGGCGAGCGUUGUCCGGAAUCACUGGGCGUAAAGGGCGCGUAGGCGGCGUUUUAAGUCGCAUGUGAAAUCCCCGGGCUUAACCCGGGAUGUGCAUGCGAAACUGAAAUGCUCGAGUGCGGUAGAGGAAAGUGGAAUUCCUAGUGUAGCGGUGGAAUGCGUAGAUAUUAGGAGGAACACCAGUGGCGAAGGCGACUUUCUGGGCCGCAACUGACGCUGAAGCGCGAAAGCGUGGGGAGCAAACAG
Molecule: ribosomal RNA, 251 nt
Filed under: uncultured prokaryote
Description: partial 16S rRNA
Rfam family: Bacterial small subunit ribosomal RNA
Source: RNAcentral